GCGGGCGUAGCUCAGUUGGUUAGAGCACCAGAUUGUGGUUCUGGAUGUCGCGGAUUCGAAUUCCGUCGCUCGCCCCA
This 77-nucleotide transfer RNA is filed under the name bacterium B17. RNAcentral describes it as "tRNA-His". It matches the Rfam family "tRNA". Rfam says of the family: Transfer RNA (tRNA) molecules are approximately 80 nucleotides in length. Their secondary structure includes four short double-helical elements and three loops (D, anti-codon, and T loops). Further hydrogen bonds mediate the characteristic L-shaped molecular structure. tRNAs have two regions of fundamental functional importance: the anti-codon, which is responsible for specific mRNA codon recognition, and the 3' end, to which the tRNAs corresponding amino acid is attached (by aminoacyl-tRNA synthetases). tRNAs cope with the degeneracy of the genetic code in two manners: having more than one tRNA (with a specific anti-codon) for a particular amino acid; and 'wobble' base-pairing, i.e. permitting non-standard base-pairing at the 3rd anti-codon position. The record is from RNAcentral.